Molecule: ribosomal RNA, 458 nt
Filed under: uncultured bacterium
Lineage: Bacteria
Description: partial 16S ribosomal RNA
Rfam family: Bacterial small subunit ribosomal RNA
Source: RNAcentral
CCUACGGGUGGCAGCAGUGAGGAAUAUUGGUCAAUGGGAGGAAUCCUGAACCAGCCAUGCCGCGUGCAGGACGACGGCUCUACGAGUUGUAAACUGCUUUUGUACCGGGGUAAAUUGCUCUAAGAGUAGGGUUUUGAAAGUACGGUACGAAUAAGGAUCGGCUAACUCCGUGCCAGCAGCCGCGGUAAUACGGGGGAUCCGGGCGUUAUCCGGAGUCAUUGGGUUAAAAGGGUGCGUAGGUUGUUUUAUAAGUUAGCGGUAAAAUACGGAUGCUCAACAUCGGGGCUGCCGCUGAUACUGAAGGACUAGAGAUCGGAUGCAACAGGCGGAAUGUGGAGUGUAGCUGUGAAGUGCAUAGAUAUUACACAGAACACCGGUUGCGAGGGCAGCUUGCUAGGCCGGAUCUGACACUGAUGCACGAGAGCGUGGGGAUCGAACAGGAUGAGAUACCCUGUAGU